GCCAAGAGGGCCAGAUUGCUGGAGACAGGCAGGCGCGGAACUGACCCGAGUGCCGGGUGACCUUACGUGGGUGCCGCACACAUUGAAGAUAAAGAAACGGGGGGCGGGGGGCAUAGCUCUGUGGGAGCAGCUUGCCUAGCUCGUGCAAGCCUGGGGUUGAUACCCAGCGCCACAAAACCAAAGGAAACCAAGACAGAGGCGGAGGCCGGGAGGAAGAGGGUGAGCCAGGUGCUGCGUCCUCAGUGAGUGCGGGGAUCAUGACCCAGACCACCCAGCCUCCUCAGUGCUGGGAUUACCGGCAUGGGCCACUGUGCUCCCUAUUUAAGGGGAUGAAGAAGUGAAAGUUGCAACUGGAAAUUAUUUUUUUCGAGAAGCUUGGUGAGUAAGGCACAGUAAGCCUGGAACAUCCCAUGGAGAACCCACCACAUCCAUGGCCCACCGUCCCCGGCCCCAUCUCCUGUCUGAGUAUGCAGCUUCCCUUCUAGAUCAUAAACCCCACAGGCCAGGGUCUCGGCUGCUGCCUGGGCAGGGCUCUCAGCAGCGUCUGGUGUGGCCUCUGGUGUCUGGAUGCUGUACGAUGCACACAUGCAGGGUGGGGCCUUGGGAUUAGCUCAGCUAGGGGGCAGCUAGCCCCGGGAGGGCCAAGUUCUCCCCACCCCCUGGCCCGCAGGCAGGAACGACUAUGGGCACCUGGCGUCUUUCCCCUGCAGUCACCCUGUCCUUGACCAACCUCUUCCAACCUCUUCACCGGGGUCUGCUAAACUUCUUUGCCUUCCUGGCAAUUCUGGGAUAGAUAGAUUUCUAGGUGUCCCUGUAAAUCUCUCCAAUCCCUUAAAUCCAGUCUAGCACAGAGUGGAAAAGGGGGCUCUAGGGAAAGAAAACCCCACUGAGAAUGGUACCCGAGGUCUUCCCGGAUACCGGGUACCUGGGGACCCAGAUUCCUGUGUCCCCCUGCGGGUCAGGAAUUCGUCUUCUCCCAUUUUUGUCUCUGUUGGCUUUCUUUUUUCCCCUGGAAGUGGACGUGAAGAGAAGUGAAAAGGGGAAACAGAAAGGCAGGGUCUUCGUGGGCCCACAGUCUUUGGAAAUGCAGUGAUAAAUCCACUAAGGCUCUUUAAUGUCCUCUUUCGGAGGUUCACACACCACACAGACCGGAACAAGGCGGGGACGGAGGGUUAGCGGGCCCGGGAGGUGCUCAUCCUGGCUUCCCUCUGCCAGGCGGUGGGAGGGCUAUUUACAGAGUAGGGGCCGCCUUUCUUAUCUCAGGUCCUAAAGCAGAGACCUUCCAAGUUUCCUUCCAAAAA
Heterocephalus glaber (naked mole-rat) is the source of this 1301-nucleotide non-coding RNA. NCBI's taxonomy places the organism in Eukaryota, Metazoa, Chordata, Mammalia, Rodentia, Bathyergidae. The record is from RefSeq and is a predicted model, not a curated record.